CUUUGCACUGUUAAGUGGCGGUGAACAAUGGUGAUUUGAGUCUGAGACGAUUUAGUUGCCAUUUACACGUAGUUGUAUUGCCCUAUGGCAGCGAUUAAAGUGGUCAUUUAAGAAGACACUAAGCAAGUUGUGCAGCAAACAUAGCAGUCAGCUGGGGCUUGAUUUUUGGAAGGUGUGAAAACGGCACAGGAGACGUUUUACAGGUGGAAGAAACACCUGCUUUUAUAGGUCAAAGACAAAGAAGGCCUGUUAGAGACCCUCUAACAAGCACAAGAAGGUUUUUCUGGUAAAAAAAACUGACCAGAAAAACAUUCAGACUCGGUGGUCAUAAGACCAAGCCUUACGCCAGGUCAGAGACAGAGCGCGAUGCGUGUGGAGAACUUGGCACAACCUGAAUAACACUGGACAAACACAGGCACAGAACCCCUCUGCAUGAUGAGGACGAUGACGAGCCCAUGACAUUUCUGGAAUAUUUACGCCGUAUAGAGCAGGAAGAAUACAAAAAACAAGCAACUACAAUCCAGGCUGUGUGUGAUAGUGGAGAGCUAGACCCCCUUUUUUUUUUUUUUUCCUUUUUUCCAACAACUGGUCACCUCAGGCAUGUCUUUAUCCUGUUUUCCUUCUCUCACCCCAACCGGUCGCAGCAGAUGGCCCCGCCCCUCCCUGAGCCUGGUUCUGCCAGAGGUUUCUUCCUGUUAAAAGGGAGUUUUUCCUUCCCACUGUCGCCAAAGUGCUUGCUCAUAGGGGGAUUUUCUCCUUAACACUUUGCAUCUUCAUCCACCAACUGCAACCACUCACCUGCCACCUCCGCUGGAGGAUUCGCUGCACGGCCCGCCGGAUGACUUGCUGCAUGAACUGCCGGCGUGAAUAAUUAUCGUCUCACCCAGUUCAUCCAGCAUUUCCACACCACAGCAGGAGCAGCCACGUCAGAGUUGUUCCACAUCACCAUCACUUUUCCCUGCUGAUCCCGCUCCUCCUUCCAGGAGGACGCAACAUCUACACCACUGGCAGUCAUAAGCAGAUGCGGGCUUCCCCAGAGGUUGGGUUCCUGACCUCAUCUGACUCUGGACCUUUGGAAGUAACGGAAUCUGUACAGCCUGUGAAUUUAAAGGACCGUCCCCAACGUCUCAGGUGGGAAUGGCUGGUGUCCAGCAGGAGCCCGCACCUGUGUCUGAUAUCACUGGAGGCACUGGUGAGCCCGUCCAGCUGGUUAACCCAUGUUCUGGAGCCUCAGGAGAACCAACAUCACCACCAACUCUACGUCCACUACAGCUUUCAGCUCAGCUUCCUGCUCAGUUUUCAGCUCAGCUUCCUGCUCAGCCUGCAGCUCAGCCAUCUGCUUUGCGAGAGGUCUUCAUACCUGCUGAUCCUGUGUCUGUCCAGCUGUCUUCAGUUCUCGCUGGAGGGUCCGAGGAACGGCUUCAGCCGUCUUCUGUUCCUGCUCAAGGGUCAGAGGGGUUCCUUCAGCCGCCUUCUCUUCCUGCUGGACGGUCCGAGGGGUAACUGAACAAUACAAAAGUCUGCUCUUCUUUCUUGUCCUCAUGUUACUGUUGUAAGGACUGCACUCACUUUCAGCUCACUCUUUUCACUCCCAUGGGGCAGCAGCUGAGAGUUUAGCAGUCCAUGUGUGUCUUCCUUUAAGUUAAGUUACCACUGAUUACACUGAAAUAAACCCAGUUACCACAACUAAUUGAUGGCUUUCUUUGCAUUCUGACCGGAUGAGGCCAUGGUGAUAACAAUUUUAAUUUCCUUUAAACCUCCUAAUUAACAAUCGGUCUUCGUAUUUUCAUCUUCUUAAUAUUAAUUUUUUUAAUUUAUUUGUCCUUCACUCACUUCAAACAGUACCACCAUACUUGUCAAUGCUCUUGUAACAUCUCAUUUAGAUUACUGUAAUUCUUUAAUCUCUCGUCUACUCGUCUUACUUUCAAAGCGCUUCAUAACCUUGCUCCUCCAUAUUUAUCUGUCUUCUUCAUACGUACUCACCCCCUGGUACACUCUGUUCUUCUUCAGCUUCCUUUCUGUCUGUUCCACCUGCUCGCCUGACUUCCAUGGGACUCGGAGCCUUUAGUAGUUCUGCCGAGACUUUGGAAUGCACUUCCACCAGAUCUUCGGACUACAAACUCUCUCCACUUUUAAACUGCAUCUUAAAACCCAUCUAUUCAAAAUUGCAUACCCUUCAUCAUGAUUAAGUCUUAGACUAUUAUUACCUUUUUUGGCUUUUAUUCCUGCUUUCAUACUUUCAUCUUUCAUACUUGUUUUAUUUUUCAUUUACCUUUGGUUUUUAUUUUAUUGUACUAAUGUAAAGUGACCUUGAGGGUCUUUAAAGCCGCCUAUAAAUAAAAUGUGUUAUUGUUAUUUUCAUUAUCAUCUUGAACAAAAACAUUCAUCCAUAUGAAGGACAUCUUAAGCUAUAAAACACAGACAACAUGCCUCAUAAAUCAACCCCUUUAUAUUUCUGUGCAGAUUAUUGAGACUUGCAAAUUUAAAAUGUGUUUUGUAGCUAGGAAUCAGUGCAUCAUAGUCUUUUAUGAAGCUUGGAGUUUCUGAUAUCCAACUUUAACUCAUUUCAAUACCCUCUCCAUCAAGACUUUUACUUUGGAAGGUAUAGCCUUUAUUUUUAUUUUAUUUUAUUUUAUUUUUUUCACUGCAAGCCGGCUGGUGUCCCUGGUGGAGGUUUAGUAUUUACAUCAAUAUUAUCUGAACCUUAUCCGACACUGUUAUUCAGUGCACAGCCAGACACGCAGUUGACCUGUCAGUGGCACAGCUUUGAAUUAAUUUUUUGUUAUUUUCUAUUGUGGGUUCCAAUCACAUUUUUUGUGCAUUUUGGAGCCAUUUCCUGUGAUGCUGGUGAGUUAUAUCCAAAUGGGUGCAUUAUCAUGGUGUGCAGCUUUGCCUGGAGACACAAGUGUUCGUCGGUUCUUUCUAUACUGGCCACAGUCAUGAAUGUUAAGUAUGAAUGCAGAAUUUGUGCCUCACACAUAAAAGUAGAGAAAAAUGACACGGUACUUGUUAAUGAGCCUUAUGAACACUAUAGUUCAUUAAUGUUUUGGGUAUCAGUUUGUAUUAGGGGUGGUGGGGUCAGUAAUUGUGUGAUGCUUUAUUCUGGUUGUCUCCUGUAAGUUUAGUAUGUUGCUCUUGUACAUCAGAAAGCAGACAUGUCUGUUUAUACAGUUUAAACGCUUUGCUUGGCCUCCUCCUUUUUGCUCUGCUGUGUUCCUGAAAAAGAAGUCAGAAUUUCCACGUUCCCGGUCAUAAUUUGAGUCUGAAGUCCCCUCAACUCAGAUUUCCCACUCUGGAAGUCAGAGCAGCCCCAUUGCCCCCCGACUUACUAAUCCAUGGAACAUAAAUAAUAGACAGUAAAACUUUUAAUUUGUCCUGCCACUAUUGUGUAUUUGUGACUUGUUAAAUAAGUCGUACGUAGAGCACGGACCAGGUUCUAUCCAUGAACAUGCUGCAGCUGUGUCUUUAAGCACAUAAUAGGAUUCAUUUGGGGGGUUUUGCUGAGAACCAAUAAAAUCCCCCCCCCCUGCAUUCAUAUGACUGUGUCUCACUUCUCAUGACAAUAUGCUGGUAGUUCAGGAACAACAGCCAAACUCUUAUUAAGACUUGGGAAUAAUUCUUAAAACUGUAUUGCUGACCAACAUUUGAUAACUUUAAAGCAGCUUUUUUGCAACUUUCAGUUUGCAUGCAUACCAACUGUUUAAGUAAAAAAAACUUUACUUUUUAGCAUUCUCUGAUAACAGCAAUGGGCAUCGGAGUCAGAUGGAGUUUUUCCAUAUUAUCUGGACAAGGUCUACAUUAGUAUUGGUUACAAAACAUUACUUAGCACCUUAGACACUAUAAAAGAUUUAAACUGUCAAUAUUUUUUUAUACCAUCUAUAUACAGAGGAUGAUCCAUAAGGAUGUCUGACAAUGGUGUUCUCACAUCUGCAGCUGCGCGCUGACUGGUUUCCCAGAAUGUCCAUCAUGUAGCAGCAUCCUGUUUGAACUAUAUAGUGAAAGGUUUUGCUUCUAAAAUAAUGAACUGACACUGGAGGGAUUCAUGUGGAUUUGCUGUGAUCAAAAGACUGGAUUGGAGACCCUCGGUGUGCUGAGUUCAAGGAGGAAAUGCCUACCCUGGAAUUAGGUGGUAACCAAUGAGAGGAAAUUGUUCAAAACUUGGAGAAGAAGAGCUUGAGAGUUGAAGUCCCAGGAUCUGGUGUGGAAACCCACUCUCUAACUACACAAGGCCUGAUAAGGUUAACAACUCCAACCGUGGUGGCUUUGGGCCUUGGAUUGCAGGCCAGCACUGUGUCUUCAGCCACUAGUCUUCUUUGGAGGAAAAAUAAAUCUUGUGUACUCCAUUUUUAUUGUGAGUGUAGUGGUUUCCUCCUGGUCACUAUUGGAACUUAUUACUUUCUUGUAUGGAGGCCAAGACCUCACCCGCCUCCAAAAAUAGAAAUGACUGGCCCAUCCUGUAGAGUGCAGUCCAGUUUAUUUUCUAUGUGUACUCCAAGGUAUUUAUAGUCUUCCGCAAUUUCCUCAGCAACCUCCUGGAUUGCACAGGUUUCCUGGUCCUCCUACAAUCAAUUCUUUGGUCUUAGUCACAUUGAGCUGCAAAUGAUUCUGCUUGCACCACGUGACAAAGGAGUCAAUCACAGCCCUGUACUCCGUCUCAAUCACCCUCACUGAUGCAUCCAAUCACCGCAGAGUCAUCAGAAAACUUCUGAAGAUGCCAGGUCUCUGUGCAGCGGCUGAAGUCUGUGAUGUAGAGAGCUGGUCCAGAUGGGCAUAGACACGAUUGAGCAGGUAGAUGAUGGUGUCCUCAUUUCCAAGACAGGCUCGUGGGGGAACUGAAGGGGAUCCUGUUGUGGCAUGAGAAUAGGCUGAAGCUGGUCAUGGAUGAAUCUUUCCAGUGUCUUCAUUAUGUGAGAAGUCGGUGCCACAAGCCUGUAAUCCUGGGGGCCACCGGAACAUGGCGUCUUUGGUACAGGACCGAGGCAUGAUGUCUUCCACAGCACUGGGACCCUCUGCAGAGGUUCUUCAUGAAGAGUUUAUGAGAGUCUCCACAAAGCUUCAGGGCACAGACCUUUAGGACAUGGGGACUCACCCCAUCUGGUUUAGCAGAUUUGCUUAAGUGGAGUCUUCUCAUUUGUCUCUGAACAUGCUCAUGAAUAAAAGCAAUAGGUGGGGAAAGGAUGUCAGGACGUUUAACGGAGGCUAUGGUGCAGCGUGGAGAAGAGUGUCGUGGCUGUGGAUUGCAGGCUGACCAUAGGCACCACAGUCACAGACAGUCCUUUAAUGCACUGGACAAGACUACUCAGUAUUUUCAUGCAACAUUUGAAAAGUUUCUGACUCGUGAUUUCCAAAAGGCAGCUUGGAUGUAAUCCAAUAAUGGAAACAAGGCAGACAUUAAACACUGAAGAAAGGAAUUUAUUGUACACAAAACUGACAGUUAAAAAAACAAAGCAUAUCCAUUCAAGUCUGGGUUAUCUAUAUCUAUCAGUAAAACACAUUAAACAACUAUAAAAAGCAAACUGUUGCUUCGCAAACUGCUUGCCUGAUUAACUUUUACCCUGACCACAUCAGCAGAAUUACCCACACUUUAUAACAGCACAACAAUAGCAGGAUGGACUAAUAAAGCAAAAAAAUCUUAAUAUGCAAACUGAAUAAAAAAAAAAAAAAACAAUACUAAAAAGCAUUUAAAUGUAGCUAGUAAUAUUCAGAUAAAAAAAGACCUUUCUAUUUGGCUCGAACAGUCUGUGAGAUCCAGCUUUGUUGAUGCUCACAUCCCUGUAACAGUAACUGCAGGUUAUGCUGGUCUGUUUUCUUUUUUUUAAAACUACAAAUCAAUUGAUGGAUAACUUAGGGCUGCCCUGAAGUGUACCCUAUUUUAUCUCCCUUCUGGACAAUCCAGUGGGCUAAAAUUUACAAAGUAAACAUGAAUUUGAUAAGACUUGAAAAUAUGAAUUGUUUACUGGUGGAAUGGAACAUGAAGUCUGUAGCUCUUUUUCCAACAGUCAUAACCAAACAUCUUUGCAGUCAGUCUCGUCCUGCUGCUUAGAAAGAAUGCUUGACCUUGACCUUGUUUAGCCUAUUCUAUGUGUAUCAAAAACCAAAAUUAACAAAUAUUUAAAAGGUCAUAUUGAUUUUUUUUAUUUUUAUUUUAAAAAGACGGAUAUCAACAGCAACCCCUGAAAUUUUUCAAAAAACAGUAACAGUUUUUACAAUGCUGUUGUUGCACUAUUUUGCAUGAAAUGGAUUUAAAUAAUCUGAUUAUCGCAUUAUGUUUUCAAUAUUACAAAUUUUUCUGGACACAUGAGUAAAGCAUGAAUGUACUAUCAGUUAACAGAUGAAUAUAGAUUGUCCAAUGUUGUAGCUACAGCAGUGUCCAUAACCUUAAAGCCAUGCUGUAUAACUAA
Molecule: long non-coding RNA, 6401 nt
Organism: Oreochromis aureus
Lineage: Eukaryota; Metazoa; Chordata; Actinopteri; Cichliformes; Cichlidae
Exons: 11
Source: RefSeq, a predicted model, not a curated record